CCUCACUGAGGACAAAGUUCAAUAAUGAGAAUCUUUGUUNNAAAGUCACGUUCUGA
Small nucleolar RNA from Cavia aperea (Brazilian guinea pig), 56 nucleotides. NCBI's taxonomy places the organism in Eukaryota, Metazoa, Chordata, Mammalia, Rodentia, Caviidae. The record is from Ensembl.